Molecule: non-coding RNA, 288 nt
Organism: Meleagris gallopavo (turkey)
Lineage: Eukaryota; Metazoa; Chordata; Aves; Galliformes; Phasianidae
Source: RefSeq, a predicted model, not a curated record
AGUCGGGGGGCGGAGGGGUGACCGUGCCCGCGUCCCCUUAGGGUACUCGGUGGCCGUGGGAGAGUUCGACGGCGACCCCAAAACCAAAGAGUUCGUGGUGGGGGUCCCCAAUAAGAGCAACACGAGGGGCGAGGUGGAGAUCUUCAGUGCGGGGCUGUCGCUGCGCCGGCUGCAUGGCAUCCCCAGUGAGCAGGUACUGCCCCCAUCACUGCCCCAUAGCGCCCCAUAGCGCCCCAUAUACUGCCCCAUAGCGCCCCAUGCACCGUCCCAUAGCAUCCCAUGUACCGC